This 68-nucleotide transfer RNA is filed under the name Marmota monax (woodchuck). RNAcentral's name for it is "tRNA.Ala". The stretch from base 3 to 63 matches the Rfam family "tRNA", at positions 6 to 65 of the family's 71-position model. From Rfam's summary of the family: Transfer RNA (tRNA) molecules are approximately 80 nucleotides in length. Lineage: Eukaryota; Metazoa; Chordata; Mammalia; Rodentia; Sciuridae. The record is from RNAcentral.
GUAGUGGCUCAGUGGUAGAGCACUUGCCUGGCAUGUGUGAGGCCCUGGGUUCAAUCCUCAGCUCCACA